Molecule: ribosomal RNA, 486 nt
Filed under: uncultured Pacispora
Lineage: Eukaryota; Fungi; Glomeromycota; Glomeromycetes; Diversisporales; Pacisporaceae
Description: SSU rRNA
Rfam family: Eukaryotic small subunit ribosomal RNA
Source: RNAcentral
AGCAGCCGCGGUAAUUCCAGCUCCAAUAGCGUAUAUUAAAGUUGUUGCAGUUAAAAAGCUCGUAGUUGAAUUUCGGAAUUUUUUUAUCGGUUGAAUCAACAGGUUCGUACUGAUUUUAAGAAUUUCUACCUUCUGGAGAACCUUAAUGUCAUUUAUUUGGUGUUUUGGGAAACCAGGACUGUUACCUUGAAAAAUUAGAGUGUUUAAAGCAGGCUUAUGUCUGAAUAUAUUAGCAUGGAAUAAUGAAAUAGGACGGCAUGGUUCUAUUUUGUUGGUUUCUAGGAUCACCGUAAUGAUUAAUAGGGAUAGUUGGGGGCAUUAGUAUUCAAUUGUCAGAGGUGAAAUUCUUGGAUUUAUUGAAGACUAACUUCUGCGAAAGCAUUUGCCAAGGAUGUUUUCAUUAAUCAAGAACGAAAGUUAGGGGAUCGAAGACGAUCAGAUACCGUCGUAGUCUUAACCAUAAACUAUGCCGACUAGGAAUCGGAC